GGCAGGCUUAACACAUGCAAGUCGAGCGGUAGCAGAUCUAGCUUGCUAGAUGCUGACGAGCGGCGGACGGGUGAGUAACGCGUAGGAACCUGCCCAGUAGUGGGGGAUAGCCCGGGGAAACUCGGAUUAAUACCGCAUACGCUCUACGGAGGAAAGAGGGCUUCGGGCUCUCGCUAUUGGAUGGGCCUGCGUGAGAUUAGCUAGUUGGUGAGGUAAUGGCUCACCAAGGCGACGAUCUCUAGCUGGUCUGAGAGGAUGAUCAGCCACACUGGGACUGAGACACGGCCCAGACUCCUACGGGAGGCAGCAGUGGGGAAUAUUGCACAAUGGGCGCAAGCCUGAUGCAGCCAUGCUGCGUGUGUGAAGAAGGCUUUCGGGUUGUAAAGCACUUUCAGUGGGGAGGAAGGCCUCGUAGUUAAUAGCUGCGAGGAUUGACGUUACCCACAGAAGAAGCACCGGCUAACUCCGUG
RNAcentral lists this ribosomal RNA (470 nucleotides) under uncultured bacterium. Its description in RNAcentral is "bacterial SSU rRNA". It matches the Rfam family "Bacterial small subunit ribosomal RNA", at positions 41 to 507 of the family's 1533-position model. The record is from RNAcentral.